GAGGGCGGGGAGUGAUCGCCGGUGCAAGAAGCGUGGUGCAGGGGGCACAGACAAGGAGCGGCUCCUGGCAGGCUUCGAGUGGAAGGGGCACAUGGACGAAUCGAACAUACACCGGAAUGAGAGGGAUCUGGAUACUGUAUAGGUAUGGGACUAUACAGUUGAAAGAUAGCUUAAAGGAAUUGAUUUGGCUACUCAUAUCAUCAAAAAUGCAUUUACUUUUCGGAAGCCUAACCCAUAAGAACUCCAUGGUUAAGCGUGCUUAGCCUGGAGAAAUUCUGGGAUGGGUGACCUUCUGGGAAGUUUUCCCAGAAAGUGUGCGAGUGAGGACAAAGCACACUGAAAAGUCUCGUGGUGAUGUAUGGGGGCAGUCAGCAGUCCCUGUAAGUCGCCGGAGUGUUACAUCACCAAAACAUGCAUGUGCGUUGAUGUAUUG
This 433-nucleotide long non-coding RNA is filed under the name Vigna radiata. RNAcentral's name for it is "long non-coding RNA (VRAD_LNC002427)". Lineage: Eukaryota; Viridiplantae; Streptophyta; Magnoliopsida; Fabales; Fabaceae. The record is from RNAcentral.